This 612-nucleotide long non-coding RNA is filed under the name Oreochromis niloticus (Nile tilapia). RNAcentral's name for it is "lncRNA (ENSONIG00000024344.2)". The record is from RNAcentral. Lineage: Eukaryota; Metazoa; Chordata; Actinopteri; Cichliformes; Cichlidae.
AUGGGGAUAAAAAGCGGGAGGAGCAAGCAGGGGGAAACAGUGGAGACAGAUCCACGACACGCGCAAGUCUGCGGAUCGGGAGGGAAACCUGUGAUUAUGUCCGCAAACGGAUCAAACAACGACGUGGAUCAGAGAGGCCCGGCCGGGUUGUCGGACGGGGAAACCUUCAGGUCUCACGCCGACGGUACAGACCGGUGUGAGAAGAACAUCACAAACUCUGCCGACCCUCCGGAGCAGAGUAACGCCGUCCGUGAAAGAGCGCAGCGAGGGGGGGAAAUAAUAAUAAGACAACCAAGUUAUUGUUGUCGACGUACAUCAGAAAGAGAAGAAAUGCGGAAAGAGAUUAAAAGUGAAGAGGACAUCGUGACUAUACCGAGCCGGGUCACCGCUGUAGACAAUCCGUCAAAGGAGGAGCAAGAGAGAGUUGUAGCAUCCCGAGCUCUCCGUCCUAUCAUACGCAAUCCUCGUGGGCUGCAGGUCAUGAGACUCCAAGGAAGAGGAGCCCAGCAACGAAGGAAUUUCCAUAAGAGGGAGGUCCUGCGAAUGCUCUCCAGCAUGUACUCCACAACCCUUUUGGCCUAUGUAUCAAUAGCAAAAAGCAGUAAUUUGUAA